GCUCAGGAUAAACGCUGGCGGCGCACAUAAGACAUGCAAGUCGAACGGACGAAGUUUAGAUUCUUUACGAUUCUAACCAAGUUAGUGGCGGACUGGUGAGUAACGCGUGAGCAACCUACCUAUAAGAGGGGAACAACAGAGAGAAAUCUCUGCUAAUACCGCAUAAGCUCACAGUAGCACAUGCUACAGUGAGAAAAGGAGUAAUCCGCUAAUAGAUGGGCUCGCGUCCGAUUAGCUAGUUGGUGAGAUAACAGCCCACCAAGGCAACGAUCGGUAGCCGGACUGAGAGGUUGAACGGCCACAUUGGGACUGAGAUACGGCCCAGACUCCUACGGGAGGCAGCAGUCGGGAAUAUUGCGCAAUGGAGGAAACUCUGACGCAGUGACGCCGCGUAUAGGAAGAAGGUUUUCGGAUUGUAAACUAUUGUCGUUAGGGAAGAGAAAGGACGGUACCUAAGGAGGAAGCCCCGGCUAACUAUGUGCC
This 483-nucleotide ribosomal RNA is filed under the name uncultured bacterium. Its description in RNAcentral is "bacterial SSU rRNA". It matches the Rfam family "Bacterial small subunit ribosomal RNA", at positions 22 to 509 of the family's 1533-position model. The record is from RNAcentral.